This 562-nucleotide ribosomal RNA is filed under the name Ameerega trivittata (three-striped poison frog). Its description in RNAcentral is "partial large subunit ribosomal RNA". It matches the Rfam family "Bacterial large subunit ribosomal RNA", at positions 1798 to 2573 of the family's 2925-position model. Lineage: Eukaryota; Metazoa; Chordata; Amphibia; Anura; Dendrobatidae. The record is from RNAcentral.
GCCUGUUUAUCAAAAACAUCGCCUCUUGUUCAAUUAUAGGAGGUCCAGCCUGCCCAGUGACUUUGUUCAACGGCCGCGGUAUCCUAACCGUGCGAAGGUAGCGUAAUCACUUGUUCUUUAAAUGAGGACUAGUAUGAAUGGCCCCACGAGGGCUGCACUGUCUCCUUUUUCUAAUCAAUGAAACUAAUCUCCCCGUGAAGAAGCGGGAAUUAUCCUAUAAGACGAGAAGACCCUAUGGAGCUUUAAACAAUUGAAACAUUUGCUUUCCUCCUAACUCCUCCCGAGCUCUUUAUUUUUAUUUAAGCAUUAUUAUUUCUAGUUUUAGGUUGGGGUGACCACGGAGCAAAACUAAACCUCCAUGAAGAAAUGAAUAUUUUUAAGCCACAAACUACUUUUUUAAGCAUCAACAAAUUGACCUUCAUUGACCCAAUAUAUUGAUCAACGAACCAAGUUACCCUAGGGAUAACAGCGCAAUCUACUUCAAGAGCUCAUAUCGACAAGUAGGUUUACGACCUCGAUGUUGGAUCAGGGUAUCCUAGUGGUGCAGCCGCUACUAAUGGUU